AAUCCAUGAUUUGGGCACUUUCUUAGCAUAGAUUUGAAUCUAUCCCAAGAUUCACAUAGACUUUCACCAACAGGUUGAACAAAGGUGGAUAUAGCUCUCUUCAUAUC
Lupinus angustifolius (narrow-leaved blue lupine) is the source of this 107-nucleotide non-coding RNA. The record is from Rfam. NCBI's taxonomy places the organism in Eukaryota, Viridiplantae, Streptophyta, Magnoliopsida, Fabales, Fabaceae.